RNAcentral lists this ribosomal RNA (699 nucleotides) under uncultured bacterium. RNAcentral's name for it is "bacterial SSU rRNA". It matches the Rfam family "Bacterial small subunit ribosomal RNA", at positions 8 to 702 of the family's 1533-position model. The record is from RNAcentral.
AGAGUUUGAUCCUGGCUCAGGAUGAACGCUAGCGGCAGGCUUAACACAUGCAAGUCGAGGGGCAGCAUUGGUACUUGUACCAGAUGGCGACCAGCGCACGGGUGAGUAACGCGUAUGCAACCUACCUUUUACAGGGGAAUAGGCAGAAGAAAUUCUGAUUAAUACCCCAUAAUAUUUCAGAUCAGCAUUGAUUUGGGAUUAAAGUUUCGGCGGUAAAAGAUGGGCAUGCGUUUUAUUAGUUAGUUGGUAAGGUAACGGCUUACCAAGACUACGAUAAAUAGGGGUCCUGAGAGGGAGAUCCCCCACACUGGUACUGAGACACGGACCAGACUCCUACGGGAGGCAGCAGUGAGGAAUAUUGGACAAUGGAGGAGACUCUGAUCCAGCCAUGCCGCGUGCAGGAAGACGGUCCUAUGGAUUGUAAACUGCUUUUAUACAGGAAGAAACCUUCUCACGUGUGAGAAGCUGACGGUACUGUAAGAAUAAGCACCGGCUAACUCCGUGCCAGCAGCCGCGGUAAUACGGAGGGUGCAAGCGUUAUCCGGAAUCAUUGGGUUUAAAGGGUCCGUAGGCGGAUUAUUAAGUCAGAGGUGAAAUCCCACAGCUCAACUGUGGAACUGCCUUUGAUACUGGUAGUCUUGAGUUAUAAGGAAGUAGAUAGAAUGUGUAGUGUAGCGGUGAAAUGCAUAGAUAUUACAC